Small nuclear RNA from Mandrillus leucophaeus (drill), 107 nucleotides. Lineage: Eukaryota; Metazoa; Chordata; Mammalia; Primates; Cercopithecidae. The record is from Ensembl.
GGGCUCACUUCAGUAGCACACAUGGUAAAACUGGAACAAUACAGAGAAGAUUCACACGGCCACCGUGCAAGGAAAACAUGUGAGUUCGUGAAGUGUUCUGUAUUUUC